This 251-nucleotide unclassified non-coding RNA is filed under the name Hevea brasiliensis (rubber tree). The record is from RNAcentral. Lineage: Eukaryota; Viridiplantae; Streptophyta; Magnoliopsida; Malpighiales; Euphorbiaceae.
UUAGGUGGGUAGGGAUAAACCUGAUUAGCUGGGGCUCUGUAAGUUGACUUUAGGCUAUGGCUAUAACUGCCUGCAAAGGAAUUGAAAAAGGGUCUUGUUUUCUUGGUAUUUUCAACAAGCUUCUCUUCUCAUCUGGCAUUUUCAAAGGCUUGAUACAAAGUGACUGGCUUCAACAUCCUUACCAUUGGCCUUAUAUCAUCCCUAAGGCCUCCAAUGAACCCAAAGAGGAAAUGGCCUUUCCCCAAUCCUGG